RNAcentral lists this ribosomal RNA (164 nucleotides) under Leptochloa crinita. RNAcentral's name for it is "5.8S ribosomal RNA". It matches the Rfam family "5.8S ribosomal RNA". From Rfam's summary of the family: 5.8S ribosomal RNA (5.8S rRNA) is a component of the large subunit of the eukaryotic ribosome. It is transcribed by RNA polymerase I as part of the 45S precursor that also contains 18S and 28S rRNA. Lineage: Eukaryota; Viridiplantae; Streptophyta; Magnoliopsida; Poales; Poaceae. The record is from RNAcentral.
CACAUGACUCUCGGCAACGGAUAUCUCGGCUCUUGCAUCGAUGAAGAACGUAGCAAAAUGCGAUACCUGGUGUGAAUUGCAGAAUCCCGUGAACCAUCGAGUUUUUGAACGCAAGUUGCGCCCGAGGCCUUUUGGCCGAGGGCACGUCUGCCUGGGCGUCACGC